CCUACGGGUGGCAGCAGUGGGGGAUAUUUGGCAAUGGGCGCAAGCCUGACCCAGCAACGCCGCGUGAAGGAAGAAGGCUCUCGGGUUGUAAACUUCUUUUACGAGGGAAGAGCAGAAGACGGUACCUCUUGAUUAAGCCACGGCUAACUACGUGCCAGCAGCCGCGGUAUUACGGAGGUGGCAAGCGUUGUCCGGAUGUACUGGGUGUAAAGGGCGUGUAGCCGGGCUGACAAGUCAGAUGUGAAAGCCCGUGGCUCAACAACGGAAGUGCAUUUGAAACUGUCGGUCUUGAGUCUCGGAGAGGCAGGAGGAAUUCCUAGUGUAGCGGUGAAAUGCGUAGAUAUUAGGAGGAACACCAGUGGCGAAGGCGGCCUGCUGGACGACAACUGACGGUGAGGCGCGAAAGCGUGGGGAGCAAACAGGAUUAGAUACCCCAGUAGUC
This 442-nucleotide ribosomal RNA is filed under the name uncultured bacterium. Its description in RNAcentral is "partial 16S ribosomal RNA". It matches the Rfam family "Bacterial small subunit ribosomal RNA", at positions 338 to 795 of the family's 1533-position model. The record is from RNAcentral.